UAGUGGCAAACGGGUGAGUAACGCGUAGGCAACCUGCCCUUCAGAUGGGGACAACACUUCGAAAGAGGUGCUAAUACCGAAUGACGUAUCAAUUCCGCAUGGAGAGGAUACCAAAGGCCGGGCAACCGGUCACUGAAGGAUGGGCCUGCGUCUGAUUAGCUAGUUGGUGGGGUAACGGCCCACCAAGGCGACGAUCAGUAGCCGGUCUGAGAGGAUGAACGGCCACAUUGGGACUGAGACACGGCCCAAACUCCUACGGGAGGCAGCAGUGGGGAAUCUUCCGCAAUGGGCGCAAGCCUGACGGAGCAACGCCGCGUGAGUGAAGAAGGUUUUCGGAUCGUAAAGCUCUGUUGAGAGGGACGAGAGGCAAGGCUAGGAAGUGAGCUUUGUAGGACGGUACCUUUCGAGGAAGCCACGGCUAACUACGUGCCAGCAGCCGCGGUAAUACGUAGGUGGCGAGCGUUGUCCGGAAUUAUUGGGCGUAAAGGGAGCGCAGGUGGGAAAGUAAGUCAGUCUUAAAAGUGCGGGGCUCAACCCCGUGAGGGGAUUGAAACUACUUUUCUUGAGUGCAGGACAGGAAAGCG
This 584-nucleotide ribosomal RNA is filed under the name uncultured bacterium. Its description in RNAcentral is "bacterial SSU rRNA". It matches the Rfam family "Bacterial small subunit ribosomal RNA", at positions 93 to 663 of the family's 1533-position model. The record is from RNAcentral.